Molecule: ribosomal RNA, 420 nt
Filed under: uncultured crenarchaeote
Lineage: Archaea; Thermoproteati; Thermoproteota
Description: bacterial SSU rRNA
Rfam family: Archaeal small subunit ribosomal RNA
Source: RNAcentral
CAGCCGCCGCGGUAAUACCAGCUUCUCGAGUGGUGGGGGCGAUUAUUGGGCCUAAAGCGUCCGUAGCCCGCUUGUUAAGUCCUCCGUUAAAUCCGGCGAUUCAAUCGCUGGACCGCGGAGGAUACUGGUAAGCUAGGGGGCGGAAGAGGCUGGCGGUAUUCUUAGGGUAGGGGCGAAAUCCUAUAAUCCUAGGAGGACCACCAGUGGCGAAGGCGGCCAGCUAGAACGCGCCCGACGGUGAGGGACGAAAGCUGGGGGAGCAAACCGGAUUAGAUACCCGGGUAGUCCCAGCUGUAAACGAUGCAGACUAGGUGUUGGAACGGCUACGUGCCGCUUCAGUGCCGCAGAGAAGUCAUUAAGUCUGCCGCCUGGGGAGUACGGCCGCAAGGCUGAAACUUAAAGGAAUUGGCGGGGGAGCAC